This 253-nucleotide ribosomal RNA is filed under the name uncultured bacterium. RNAcentral describes it as "partial 16S ribosomal RNA". It matches the Rfam family "Bacterial small subunit ribosomal RNA", at positions 524 to 776 of the family's 1533-position model. The record is from RNAcentral.
UACGAAGGGGGCUAGCGUUGCUCGGAAUCACUGGGCGUAAAGCGCACGUAGGCGGAUUGUUAAGUCAGGGGUGAAAUCCUGGAGCUCAACUCCAGAACUGCCUUUGAUACUGGCGAUCUUGAGUCCGGGAGAGGUGAGUGGAACUCCGAGUGUAGAGGUGAAAUUCGUAGAUAUUCGGAAGAACACCAGUGGCGAAGGCGGUUCUCUGGGCAUGUCCUGACGCUGAGGAGCGAAAGUGUGGGGAGCGAACAGG